Molecule: long non-coding RNA, 3064 nt
Organism: Bombina bombina (fire-bellied toad)
Lineage: Eukaryota; Metazoa; Chordata; Amphibia; Anura; Bombinatoridae
Exons: 2
Source: RefSeq, a predicted model, not a curated record
GCAAACGAGAGAACAGCUGUAGAAGACAAGUUGUUGGUGUUAUUCUGACCUGCAGCAGCUUAGAAUGAAUAAUUGUAAUAAAUUAAUGGAUUGAUGGCUAAAUGAAGAUACACCAUGGACCAAACUUUAUCCCUCAUACCUAUACUUCAUUCCAGGCUGACGUAAGCUAGAAUCACUUGGGGUUGGAACAUUUUGCACUGACAGAUGUCCAAGGCUCCGGGCGACCAUGGCUACAGCUCGGAAUUUUGUUCGAGCGGCAAGAUUUGGGCUACUGACAUUUUGCCGGUUCAGCCUAUCUUCUGCACUGCGCGUUUUCAAGUUGUGUUCGGAACAUGCAAAAGAAACCUGCAUUUUGUCGUCUUUUUCUUCUCCAACUUAAACAAAAAUUGAUGUUUAUUGAAUCUCCAAGGGAUGCGCCGAAAUGAGAAUUCUGGAACGAAACCGAUACCAAAAAUUCAGGAUUCCCCUGGCCGAAAACCGAAACCAAAUUUUUUUUUCUUUUUUUAACUACAGUGUGUGUGUAGCUGAGAUAGAUUGUAGGCGAGAAAGCUCCAACAAAUGGACGUGGUCACUUGUACCGUAGGGUGUGAUCUGCAGUGAAACUGGAGCUCUACAAGGGAGAGCAUGGUUAUAGCCAGACAACAAUACGAGGUGGACAUGUGUUUGUUUUUGGGUGUAGCUAUCCGUGCGAUAGGCGUGGCUGCACCCGAUCGUCUUUCAUCUUAUCUCCGCCUAGUUCCUGGUUUGGGUCUCACACUGACCCGUCAGAUUAUAUGUCCGGAGCCCCAAAUGGAGUCUGCCUGUCACCUAUCACCAGGACCACCGGACUUAGCUACGACCUUACGUGCAAGGUGGUUAUAGAAAGUUACUGUGCUUUUUGUAUACACCGUCUGGUGGGUGCUAAUUUGUACCAACUGUGUGCGAGCUUGGGGCUUAUGCAUAUAUAGUGUGCACGCAUAUUUGCCUCAGGCGAAUAGAAUGUCUAUGCACAAGAGGCUGAUGUAUGAGCACUGUAUAUAAGGCUUAUACAUAUUUACUGUAUGUGCAUAGGGCUGUGUCUGAUAAUAUCAAGUGUUUAUAAACAUGUUACUUAUCCUCCUUUUGAAAACUGUAUUCAAAACUUUGGUUUCCUUAAAAAAAAAAAAAAAAAAAAAAAAGGGCACUGCUGGUUGGAAAUAUCAUCAUGUCAUGGUACUUAUGUGUGUGCUCUGUGUACCAUGCCAGUGCUGUGCUGCUCACCUUAUGCUAAGGAUAGACAUGUAACUCAAUAGAACAGGGGGAGGGCUGUACAUUUUUAGCCAUUUUUGUCCUCUUUGGGACGAAAUUGGAAUUGCACAUUUUCGGCGGCCCAAAUUUUGGUGCAUCGCUAGUAUUAUUCUUUAUUUAGUUCUGUGUAACAGAAUCAGAUUUAACUGUUUUUGUUUUGUUACCAAUUAUCAAAAUAAAGUAUAGUCCUAGAAAACUAUUAUUAUAUGCAAAACAGUAAGUCAAGUAAUGAACUCAAACAGCAGCUCUAGGCUGGCAUCAAAUUUGAAAUAUGCUACACAAUCAUUUUACCGAAAUUUUGGUGCAUCCCCUAUUUAUUUCAUAGGCAAUAGUUUUAAUUAAAACCCAGUAGAUCACAUUAAAACAUAAAGAAAGAAAAGAUCCAACAUAUUUUAUGUAUUUAUAUUACUGUUAUUUAAAAAAAACAACAUCUUUUAAAAAUAUAAAAGUAAACAAACAACCCCCCAAUAAAAUAUUAUGGAUUUAUUUCACUUUAAACAUUUUUUUAAUAAAACAGCCUUGAGAAUAUAUAAUUCCAUCUAUCCCAAAUAAAACAACAAUAUUCUUGUUUUUUCCCUAUGUUGGAGCACAUCCCAAUAAAAACAAGGGCACUUUAAUUCAUCAAAAUUUACAUUUCACUAGUUUUCUUCAAAAACGUACCUUGUAAUCCUGACAGCCGCUGCAGCGCUUCCUCCGCCCGUCGCAAGCCCUCUUUGUGGGUCCAAAAUGACGAAUCCGGCUUCCUCCAAUUACGGCGUUGCCUCAGGCCAUGAUUCCCCCGGGGGGAAAGCCGUGAUUGGAGGAAGUCGGAUUCGUCAUUUCUGAUGUAUGAAGAGGCUUCCGACAGUCGGGGGAAUCGCUGGAGGGGCUGCCAGGAUUAAAAUGUACGUUUUUGAAGAAAACCGUAAAAUUUCAAUUUUGAUGAAUUAAAGUGCCCUUGUUUUUAAUAGGAUUAUUAAAAACUGGGCACUAAUUCAUCGAAAUUGACCUUCAGUUUAAGACAAUUAUUAUGGAAUGAAUCAUUUGCAUAACCACUUAGUCGUUGUCGCUAUUGAUGCAUCUAUAAAUAUCACAAUCCUAAUCAGUUUCCUAGAGAGAGCUAUUUCUAACAUGUUCAUGUUUUAUUCAUUAUAAAAUAUCUAUUUUUUCCAGACAGCAUUACUGUUAAUAGAGCAGAAAUGCUCCUUGAAGGCUACAAUUUCAAGAAUUCUUACAUUUUGUUUUGUAAUGGAAUGUCUUAUUUUUUCAUUAUUAAAGGGACAUAAAACAAGGUGGGUUAGAGACAAAAUAUAAUAUGUACUUUAAUUACUUUACCUGCAAAUUUAUAUUGCAGUGCCUUGCGAUUAACCCUUUCUUUUAAGUUCCGGAAUUGUACAGCUCUAACUCCCCCCACACAAUUCUUUCUAUGGCUGUAUCCAUAUCCACCUUUGGAUUUGGUAGAAUGCAAGACUUUAACACUCAUUAUCUGCUGGAGCAUGCCUAGAAGCAAAUAAGCUGCUGUGAACUCAUUUGGAAUAUAAUGCCUGUGUUUCUGAUGCUAAACACUGAUAAGGGGGGUGGAUCAGACUACUCCAGACAGCAUGGCUAUGUAACUAAUCCUGUCAAUCAGGAUAUUUGACUGUAUCAGCAGGAGAGUGGGACAGAGCUCAGAAUCCGGGACUGUCCCACACAACUCGGGACAGUUGGGAGCUCUGCUGCAUGGAUCUUAACCUUUGUGACAUUUAAGACAAACUCCUGUAAUAUGUGCUACAUCUAAACCUACAUGUGGGAUAUCGUUCAUAAACAGUACAUCUUAUAA